GUGGCGAACGGGUGAGUAACACGUGAGCAAUCUGCCCUUGACUCUGGGAUAACUGCGGGAAACUGUAGCUAAUACCGGAUACUUUCCUCGCUGGGCAUCCAGCAGGGAAGAAAGAAUUUCGGUCAAGGAUGAGCUCGCGGCCUAUCAGCUAGUUGGUGAGGUAAAGGCUCACCAAGGCGACGACGGGUAGCCGGCCUGAGAGGGUGACCGGCCACACUGGAACUGAGACACGGUCCAGACUCCUACGGGAGGCAGCAGUGGGGAAUAUUGCACAAUGGGCGAAAGCCUGAUGCAGCAACGCCGCGUGAGGGAUGAAGGCCUUCGGGUUGUAAACCUCUUUUAGCAGGGAAGAAGCGAAAGUGACGGUACCUGCAGAAAAAGCACCGGCUAACUACGCGCCAGCAGCCGCGGUAAUACGUAGGGUGCAAGCGUUGUCCGGAAUUAUUGGGCGUAAAGAGCUCGUAGGCGGUUUGUCACGUCUGCUGUGAAAAUCCGAGGCUCAACCUCGGACCUGCAGUGGGUACGGGCAGGCUAGAGUGCGGUAGGGGAGAAGGGAAUUCCUGGUGUAGCGGUGGAACGCGCAGAUAUCAGGAGGAACACCAAUGGCGAAGGCACUUCUCUGGGCCGUAACUGACGCUGAGGAGCGAAAGCGUGGGGAGCGAACAGGAUUAGAUACCCUGGUAGUCCAC
RNAcentral lists this ribosomal RNA (689 nucleotides) under uncultured Actinobacteridae bacterium. RNAcentral's name for it is "bacterial SSU rRNA". It matches the Rfam family "Bacterial small subunit ribosomal RNA", at positions 95 to 798 of the family's 1533-position model. Lineage: Bacteria; Bacillati; Actinomycetota; Actinomycetes. The record is from RNAcentral.